GUAAAGAUCAAUGCUUCGGUGAGAUUCACCAUCGUGGAUUUGGUUCGCUAUUGAACUGGUUGACCUCCUACGUUGAUGAACUGUAAGCGUUAGAUUAGAGUCUGGGGAACAUCGUUGUCAUUUGUUUCUCAACAUGCUUGUCCCGCAUCAUUUAACCUGGAUCAUCGAGGUUUAAUCUAUUUUCGAUUAGUGCGGUGAGUGAUCGAUCGAUUGGUGUUGCCAAAUGUUUGCAAAGAAAUAAUUCACGGAGUUUGCGAAGGGUAAUUACAGGUGUGCGUACGGGGAAUAGAUGGUAAUGAUGGAAUAUAAGCAGAGAGAGAGAGAGAGAGAGAGAGAGAGAGAGGGAAAGAGAGAGAAAGAGAGUGAGUGAGAAUGAGGUGGGAAGAGAGGUAGUGAGUGAGAGUGAGCAGACGCCACAGCAGCAUUCAAUAGAUACGCGUACGCGAGUUAAAAGCGAUAAUUUCACGAGAACGUAUGUACUUUCGUGUAUAGAUAUUCUCUGAAUGUGAAUAUUAAACGAACGAAUCGGCUCGGAUGGCCGUUAAUUAAUUGCAAAUUCUUUCGUUUCGAUCCUAAUUACAAAACGCCAUUCAUAUUUUCCUGAUUUGGAUGAAUUUCAAUGAAAAAGAAAGAAAGAAAAAGAAAGAGAAAGAGAGAGGGAAAGGGGGAGAGAGAGAGAACAAUGAACGAGAGCAAACAAAGCUGCUGGAAACAACGAACCUUGUGACAGGUUUACGGAAAGUUACGCAAAACCAUCGCCGAAAGCAUCCGGAGGCAUGUCUGCGAUCAGCGAUCCACUUUCAUGCUGGACAUGAUUUGAAACUGAAUAUAAGAGGAGGAAAAAAAAACGAUCCGACGAAAUAAUAUCAUUAUGUAGAUCGAUCGUUUAACCAUUGAUUCGAACGCCUAUGGCAACAUUUUAUAAUAUUAAAAAAUGAAAAAAAUCAUCCUGCGAAAUUUCGACAGAUUCAUCGUUCCAAAACGUUUUCACUUGAAAAAGUUUUGUAAAUUGACACCCUCAUUGUUCCAAUAUGCACAUUUAUAAAAAAGAAAAAAAAAAUCGUUUAUUUAAUCGAACAAUAAGUGACAUUCUUAAUAAGAAUCUUUCGAAUUCUAUGUCUCAUUUAUUCGCAUUGAAUUAUGC
Long non-coding RNA from Vespa mandarinia (Asian giant hornet), 1144 nucleotides. RefSeq lists it as uncharacterized. The record is from RefSeq and is a predicted model, not a curated record. Lineage: Eukaryota; Metazoa; Arthropoda; Insecta; Hymenoptera; Vespidae.